UCCUGGUAAAAAUAUAUUUCCAACAAACCUAACCUGAAGAGACCGCCUCCUUCACUUCACCUUACUUUCUAUUGUUCAACUAACACAACCUCUCUCCCUCUCUCUUUUGUAUGAAUUACCUAACUCUAGUAGACAUAAGGAUGUCGCCUCCCUCCUCGCUUUCUCUUUCUUUCUUUGUAUCAACUUUGUACUUUCCCUUCCCUAACGCGCACACACACCACCAGUGACAAGUUUUUCUGCCAUAAAAACUCAAGCAAGGGUGCAAAUAAGCAAGGGCCAACGUCGCUACUCUAUCCCAUGACUCUCUUUGCUCUCUCAUUUGGCACUCAACAACAACCUCCAUCCGUCAAGGACCACAACGAAUCAGUCCCACACCCAUGUUUCUCUUUUCCUUUGUUAUUUUUAUUUCAUUAGAAACCUUUGUUAUUUUUAUUUUAUUAGAAAAAACAAAAAACAAAUUUAAUUAUUUUUAAUUUUUCUUACUUUUGUUUCCAAUUUUUUAUAUAAUGAUUUACUAAAUGCUUAUUUGAUUUGUAAUGUAAUAUUUUGUAAUUAGAUUUGGUUAUAUUGUUUAUGUUAUUGUAAAAAGGAAUCAAAUUUUUCUUAUUGUUUAUGUUGUUUAAGAAAAAGUUUCAGAUUAUUUUAUUGAUGUAUAUAUAUACACGAGAUAUAUUUGUAUGUUAUAUUGUUUAUUUCUUUUUUUUUAGAUUGGGCUCAAAGAAGAAAGUUAGAAAUGCCAAUUAGAAAAGAAAAACUCUAUAGUUAUUUUGCUUGAUUGAGAACAAUUAGAAUAAAGGUAUUUUGUUCACUCUUUGAUUUGAUUAACAUAUUACUUGUAUUUGUUGAUAUUUUUUAACUUCAAACUUUGUUCAAUUUUUUGGUGCACAUUGAUUUAUGUUCAAUUUGUUUUGUUGUUGUUGUUUUUCUUUUAGUAGUUAUAGAAGAUAUAUAGUAGUUUUAUAUAGAUUGUCCAUAAAUGUGAAUAAUGUUCUGUUUUGAAUUGUAGGCAAUGAACUUGAGGACAAGGAAUUACCAAAAGGAGAAGACUUGAUGUUCUUGAUUGAUGACAUUGGAAAUAUUAUACCUUAUUUUGUUCAAGUUUGUAGUCACUGUGACACUGUCUAGUUGCUCAGUAGGCAAUUCAUGAGUGACAAAUUUUUUACAAUUUUAAGACUUGAAUUUUGGAUGACUGUAAUAAACUUUGAACAAUUUUGCUUUAUGUAUGAAUUUUUUUUUCUUUAAUUUAGGUAUGAAUUUGUGAUCAUAUUCAUAUUUAAAUUUUUGUAGUUGUGAAAAGUAAGGGUUGUAACCCAACCCAAGCCAUAAUAAUUGGGUUGGUUUGGGUUGGAUUAUACAUAAAAUUUAAAAAUGAAUGGGUUAGAAUUUAAUAAAUCGAUUUUAUUGGGUUUGCCCACUAAAA
This is a long non-coding RNA of Cannabis sativa, 1420 nucleotides long. RefSeq lists it as uncharacterized. The transcript is spliced from 2 exons. The record is from RefSeq and is a predicted model, not a curated record. Lineage: Eukaryota; Viridiplantae; Streptophyta; Magnoliopsida; Rosales; Cannabaceae.